UACGUAGGGCGCAAGCGUUGUCCGGAAUUAUUGGGCGUAAAGAGCUCGUAGGCGGUUUGUCGCGUCUGCUGUGAAAACCUAAGGCUCAACCUUGGGCUUGCAGUGGGUACGGGCAGACUAGAGUGCGGUAGGGGUGACUGGAAUUCCUGGUGUAGCGGUGGAAUGCGCAGAUAUCAGGAGGAACACCGAUGGCGAAGGCAGGUCACUGGGCCGCAACUGACGCUGAGGAGCGAAAGCUAGGGGAGCGAACGGG
RNAcentral lists this ribosomal RNA (253 nucleotides) under uncultured bacterium. RNAcentral describes it as "partial 16S ribosomal RNA". It matches the Rfam family "Bacterial small subunit ribosomal RNA", at positions 524 to 776 of the family's 1533-position model. The record is from RNAcentral.